GUAUCUGCUUUUUUUCUUGACGCUCAAAGUGAUGGAACCCCUUCACUUCCAUUUUAUGAAUCACCAAGGGCCAUGGAUUCAGUAACCUACAUUUUAAAUGGCCUGAGGACCUCACUGACAUGAAGUGUGUUGCCAUAAGAGGGAUUCCUGUAAUACCUGAUCACCCUUCUUUGAAGAACUUCAUGAAGUUCUUCAAAGCAUGCUUUGCUUCUGAUGAUGAGGAGUCACACCAAAACGUUCCAGUUGGAAUCCGCGAAAGCGAAGAUGUUGCACAGCAUCCCGUCUUUCUCCUCCAUCUAGCCCCUGUAAGGAAUCGUCUCAGAGG
Molecule: long non-coding RNA, 325 nt
Organism: Onychostoma macrolepis
Lineage: Eukaryota; Metazoa; Chordata; Actinopteri; Cypriniformes; Cyprinidae
Exons: 3
Source: RefSeq, a predicted model, not a curated record